UAGAUACCCUGGUAGUCCACGCCGUAAACGAUGUGAACUAGAUGCAGGGGGUGUUGAUCCCCUCUGUGUCGCAGCUAACGCAUUAAGUUCACCGCCUGGGGAGUACGGUCGCAAGAUUAAAACUCAAAGGAAUUGACGGGGGCCCGCACAAGCGGUGGAGUAUGUGGUUUAAUUCGAUGCAACGCGAAGAACCUUACCUGGUCUUGACAUCCCGGAGACGCCCAUGAAAGUGGGUGGUGCCUUCUUUGAA
Molecule: ribosomal RNA, 250 nt
Filed under: uncultured bacterium
Lineage: Bacteria
Description: partial 16S ribosomal RNA
Rfam family: Bacterial small subunit ribosomal RNA
Source: RNAcentral